AAAAAAAAAAAAAAAAGGAAAGAAUCGCAAAAGAGAACUCAAUACCAGCUACAAAACGACGUAGCAUAGGGGGGUGUAGGGAACACACCCUACACUAGGGUGUAGGGUAAAAUUUUCACGUGCCUAGUAAGUGAAGUUUGUGAAAAUUCUGCUUCUCCUAACUUCCAAUUUCAAAAUUAAAGGCACGUGGCUGAUGUGGGUCCAGGGAACUAAAAUUAUCUUUUAUGCCACCUUUUGAAGGUUUUACAAGUUCGCUGAGAACACCCCACCGUAGCCACUACCUGCAGCCAACAAGCCUCCUUUCGGAUCACCUUCUAAAACAAACAGUCCAAUCACUGAUUUUCACACCGGCGAAUUAUCCACCAUGGUCUCCUGGGUGGACCUUCAAACUCGCCUCUGCCUAUGUUGUCGUUGGCGACGAAACAGAAAAGUUUCACACUUCGUUACUUUCCUUUGUCAUCCUCUGAUCUUAAUGGAAGCUUCUUACUUAUGUCUUCUCUUUCCACCCCAUCAACUACCAUCUCAUGUUCUUCUAGUAUCUAAAUUAUUAAAACAUCCUAAAAUACCCUUAGCCUACUGAUAUUGAUGCAUAACAUGUGAUUUCUAAAAAUUUCAUAUAAGUUGCAACAAUGUUUUAUUUCUUUGUUUGGAAAUUCUUUGUCCCUAUCUUUCUUUCUCCAUUAAACGCUCAGCAAAUUUUUUUGUCUUGGAAUCAGUUUUGAGAAGUUUAUUGCAACUUAUUUGACACGGAGGAAGUAUUAAUCUGCUUAUUAUAGACAAACAAGCUCAAGCUGAUGACUGAUGAGCGAGACAAAUUUAAGGCACAAGUUGAAGAUCUGUUGACAAAUGAGGAUGAACUUAAACUUACUUUUCAAUCUAUUGAGGAUAAGGUUUCGACAGAACAACAUGAAGCAGAUUAUCUUUCAAGGAGAGUAGCCAAACUGGAAGAGGAUAUGCAUGAUGUGAUAGGAAAGAUUUGCAAGGAGAAUGAGAAACAAGCAAGUUGAGAAGGAUGUGUACCUUUCAUUUUUGUGAAGCUGUAAAUCCUGUUUGUCCCUUUUGAAAGCUGAGAAGAUGUAAAUCCUGUUUGUCCCUUUUGAAGCUGAGAAGUUGUAAAUUCUGUUUGUGCCUAUUAUUUCUUAGAGAAGCAAGUUGAGAAGUUGCAAUCUCCGUCUGCACAUUUCUAGUUUGCCUUGACUGCAGCAACACCCAGAAGAGUCUAGUGUGGUACAGUUAACAAACAGA
Chenopodium quinoa (quinoa) is the source of this 1245-nucleotide long non-coding RNA. RefSeq lists it as uncharacterized. NCBI's taxonomy places the organism in Eukaryota, Viridiplantae, Streptophyta, Magnoliopsida, Caryophyllales, Amaranthaceae. The record is from RefSeq and is a predicted model, not a curated record. The transcript has 3 exons.